GAAAUGCGAUAAGUAGUGUGAAUUGCAGAAUUCAGUGAAUCAUCGAAUCUUUGAACGUACAUUGCGCCCCUUGGUAUUCCAUGGGGCAUGCCUGUUCGAGCGUCAUUUGUACCCUCAAGCUUUGCUUGGUGUUGGGCGUCUUGUCGGAAUAUCCGACUCGCCUUAAAUACAUUGGCAGCCGGCACUUUGGCCUAGGAGCGCAGCACAUUUUGCGAUCGUAAGCCGUUGUGACAGCAUCCAUAAGAUUUAUUUUACCACGUUUGACCUCGGAUCGGGUAGGGAUACCCGCUGAACUUAAGC
This 300-nucleotide unclassified non-coding RNA is filed under the name plant metagenome. RNAcentral's name for it is "partial contains 5.8S ribosomal RNA, internal transcribed spacer 2, and large subunit ribosomal RNA". The stretch from base 1 to 105 matches the Rfam family "5.8S ribosomal RNA", at positions 50 to 154 of the family's 154-position model. The record is from RNAcentral.